CAGUUGUACGCGAAAGGGGGGGCAACCCCCCGAGUAGAGUGGCGAACGGGUGAGUAAUACAUCGGAACGUGCCCAGUAGCGGGGGAUAACCUCUCGAAAGAGAGGCUAAUACCGCAUACGUCCUACGGGAGAAAGAGGGGAAUCGCAAGACCUCUCACUAUUGGAGCGGCCGAUGUCGGAUUAGCUAGUUGGCGGGGUAAAAGCCCACCAAGGCUACGAUCCGUAGCUGGUCUGAGAGGACGACCAGCCACACUGGAACUGAGACACGGUCCAGACUCCUACGGGAGGCAGCAGUGGGGAAUUUUGGACAAUGGGCGCAAGCCUGAUCCAGCCAUGCCGCGUGGGUGAAGAAGGCCUUCGGGUUGUAAAGCCCUUUCGGCUGGGACGAAAAGGUCCGCGCUAACACCGCGGAUCCAUGACGGUACCAGCAGAAGAAGCACCGGCUAACUACGUGCCAGCAGCCGCGGUAAUACGUAGGGUGCAGGCGUUAAUCGGAAUUACUGGGCGUAAAGCGUGCGCAGGCGGUCUCUUAAGACAGGUGUGAAAUCCCCGGGCUUAACCUGGGAACUGCGCUUGUAACUGAGAGGCUAGAGUGUGGCAGAGGGGGGUGGAAUUCCACGUGUAGCAGUGAAAUGCGUAGAGAUGUGGAGGAACACCGAUGGCGAAGGCAGCCCCCUGGGCUAACACUGACGCUCAUGCACGAAAGCGUGGGGAGCAAACAGGAUUAGAUACCCUGGUAGUCCACGCCCUAAACUAUGUCAACUGGUUGUCGGGGAAGCAAUUCCUUGGUAACGAAGCUAACGCGUGAAGUUGACCGCCUGGGGAGUACGGCCGCAAGGUUAAAACUCAAAGGAAUUGACGGGGACCCGCACAAGCGGUGGAUUAUGUGGAUUAUUCGAUGCAAC
Molecule: ribosomal RNA, 905 nt
Filed under: uncultured beta proteobacterium
Lineage: Bacteria; Pseudomonadati; Pseudomonadota; Betaproteobacteria
Description: bacterial SSU rRNA
Rfam family: Bacterial small subunit ribosomal RNA
Source: RNAcentral